AUGAACGCUGGCGGCGUGCCUAAUACAUGCAAGUCGAGCGAACAGACGAGGAGCUUGCUCCUCUGACGUUAGCGGCGGACGGGUGAGUAACACGUGGAUAACCUACCUAUAAGACUGGGAUAACUUCGGGAAACCGGAGCUAAUACCGGAUAAUAUAUUGAACCGCAUGGUUCAAUAGUGAAAGACGGUUUUGCUGUCACUUAUAGAUGGAUCCGCGCCGCAUUAGCUAGUUGGUAAGGUAACGGCUUACCAAGGCAACGAUGCGUAGCCGACCUGAGAGGGUGAUCGGCCACACUGGAACUGAGACACGGUCCAGACUCCUACGGGAGGCAGCAGUAGGGAAUCUUCCGCAAUGGGCGAAAGCCUGACGGAGCAACGCCGCGUGAGUGAUGAAGGUCUUCGGAUCGUAAAACUCUGUUAUUAGGGAAGAAUAAAUGUGUAAGUAACUAUGCACGUCUUGACGGUACCUAAUCAGAAAGCCACGGCUAACUACGUG
Molecule: ribosomal RNA, 496 nt
Filed under: uncultured bacterium
Lineage: Bacteria
Description: partial 16S ribosomal RNA
Rfam family: Bacterial small subunit ribosomal RNA
Source: RNAcentral